RNAcentral lists this microRNA precursor (115 nucleotides) under Pelobates cultripes (western spadefoot toad). Lineage: Eukaryota; Metazoa; Chordata; Amphibia; Anura; Pelobatidae. The record is from RNAcentral.
GGCCUGCUAUCUGUGUGUGUGUGUGUGUGUGUAUUUGUAUAUAUAUAUAUAUAUAUAUAUAUAUAUAUAUACAUAUAUACAUACACACACACACACACACACAUAUAUACACACA